GGCGUGCUUACACAUGCAGUCGAACGCUGAAGCUUGGGUGCUUGCAUCUGGGUGGAUGAGUGGCGAACGGGUGAGUAAUACGUGAGUAACCUGCCCUUGACUCUGGGAUAAGCCUGGGAAACUGGGUCUAAUACUGGAUACUACAUUCUCUCGCAUGGGGGUGUGUGGAAAGGGUUUUACUGGUUUUGGAUGGGCUCACGGCCUAUCAGCUUGUUGGUGGGGUAAUGGCCUACCAAGGCGACGACGGGUAGCCGGCCUGAGAGGGUGACCGGCCACACUGGGACUGAGACACGGCCCAGACUCCUACGGGAGGCAGCAGUGGGGAAUAUUGCACAAUGGGCGAAAGCCUGAUGCAGCGACGCCGCGUGAGGGAUGACGGCCUUCGGGUUGUAAACCUCUUUCAGCACGGAAGAAGCGAAAGUGACGGUACGUGCAGAAGAAGCGCCGGCUAACUACGUGCCAGCAGCCGCGGUAAU
RNAcentral lists this ribosomal RNA (476 nucleotides) under uncultured bacterium. RNAcentral describes it as "bacterial SSU rRNA". It matches the Rfam family "Bacterial small subunit ribosomal RNA", at positions 41 to 524 of the family's 1533-position model. The record is from RNAcentral.